Non-coding RNA from Cucurbita maxima (winter squash), 74 nucleotides. NCBI's taxonomy places the organism in Eukaryota, Viridiplantae, Streptophyta, Magnoliopsida, Cucurbitales, Cucurbitaceae. The record is from the annotation of a RefSeq genome assembly.
GGCUUAUUAGCAAAGUUGGUUAGAGCAUCGUACUAACAAUACGGAGGUCGCAGGUUCGAAACCUUCAUGGGCCA